This 274-nucleotide ribosomal RNA is filed under the name uncultured bacterium. RNAcentral's name for it is "partial 16S ribosomal RNA". It matches the Rfam family "Bacterial small subunit ribosomal RNA", at positions 523 to 796 of the family's 1533-position model. The record is from RNAcentral.
AUACGGAGGGUGCAAGCGUUAUCCGGAUUCAUUGGGUUUAAAGGGUCCGUAGGCGGACUAUUAAGUCAGAGGUGAAAUCCCACAGCUCAACUGUGGAACUGCCUUUGAUACUGGUAGUCUUGAGUUAUAUGGAAGUAGAUAGAAUGUGUAGUGUAGCGGUGAAAUGCAUAGAUAUUACACAGAAUACCGAUUGCGAAGGCAGUCUACUACGUAUAUACUGACGCUAAGGGACGAAAGCGUGGGGAGCGAACAGGAUUAGAUACCCUAGUAGUCC